This 1211-nucleotide long non-coding RNA is filed under the name Salmo salar (Atlantic salmon). Its description in RNAcentral is "lncRNA (ENSSSAG00000111540.1)". The record is from RNAcentral. Lineage: Eukaryota; Metazoa; Chordata; Actinopteri; Salmoniformes; Salmonidae.
CUUGGCUAAAGCAGGCCUGCUCCCUCCGUGACUAAAGCAAGUGUGAGAAACAUGCUAACAAAUGUUUCUGCCAUGAAACGAAAUAAAUACUUCACUCUGACCCACAAAAGAUCUUUGCUAGAUUCAUGUUAGUGUUGUUAGACAAAGAAACUUCAAAACGUGAGGUAUUUUUAUUGGAAUUUGCAGCUGUUGUUGAUCAAAUCAGCCACUGAAAUGAGUGAAGAAGAUUAGGUAAUUACCUUUUACAUAUUCCACCAAAAUUUUCCACCACUUUAAGUUUCUGGCUUCAAAUCAGAAUAUUUAUUCUGAAUUUCCUAUUCCGCACAGUAAACUUUUCUUCUCUCCUGUAGGACUUUGUUUCUGGAGUGUGUGUAGUGUAAACGGAUGAUGUGCUUAUCAUACUUCCCCCAGACCCUCUCUCCCCUAAAGAUGCUACAGUAAUAAAACAAAUCAUUUGUUCAACUUUUAUAGUGCUUUUCAUUACAGACAGAAUCUCAAAGUGCUUGUUAAGCAGAAUAAAAUGCAAUAAGUAAUAUAAAGAGAGAUACAGGGUACAACAGUAGCUAGAUCAGAUCAAGUCUGUUUGAGUGCUUCUUGAAGCCUCCAGUUUACACACGCAGCCCAAUUCUGAUCUUUUACCCAAUUAUUGCCAAAUAGCAGAUCUGAUUGAUCAAUAGACCAAUUAGAGGCAAAAUAAUCAGAUUUGUGCUGCCUGUGUAAAUGCAGCCUUAUAGUGACUAGAGGUACCUUGAAGACUAUUAUGUCAUGUCCUGGGAGGCAGAAAGUCCCACCUGCAUUUGUAGCCCAUAAUUACUAUUGUAAUGUCUGUCCUAUUUUACCUUUAUUCAGAGGCAGGUCAUUUGUUCUAAAAGAACUCUCUGUUGAUGGUGAAGGUCAGUUAAUACCACUGGGACACAUUGUUUAAAGGCAUCAGUCCACAUCCAUUAUAAAGAGAUGACAGAGCAUCAGUGGAUGAAUUUGAGGUUUCAAUGGCUAUUGUAUCAUUUGCAUGGAUCUGCUGCAUGGCUUGAACAGAUUAGGGUUUACCUUUUUUUUUAAAUCAAUUCACAGAGUAAUGUCAAUAUUUAUUUGGCACAACAAGCGACCUAAAAUUAAAUAAGAAACACUCAAACUGCCAAUCAAAAAGUGAGGUUUAAAGACUGGUACAAAGCUGGUACCACGACACAGAAUGAUUUAUUCUAUGAUGGCAC